This 427-nucleotide ribosomal RNA is filed under the name uncultured bacterium. RNAcentral's name for it is "bacterial SSU rRNA". It matches the Rfam family "Bacterial small subunit ribosomal RNA", at positions 355 to 775 of the family's 1533-position model. The record is from RNAcentral.
UAGGGAAUCUUCGGCAAUGGACGAAAGUCUGACCGAGCAACGCCGCGUGAGUGAGGAAGGUCUUCGGAUCGUAAAGCUCUGUUGCCAGGGAAGAACAGCCCGGGGAGGGAAUGCCCCGGGUGUGACGGUACCUGAGAAGAAAGCCCCGGCUAACUACGUGCCAGCAGCCGCGGUAAUACGUAGGGGGCAAGCGUUGUCCGGAAUUAUUGGGCGUAAAGCGCGCGCAGGCGGUUCUUUAAGUCUUGUGUUUAAUCCCGGGGCUCAACCCCGGUUCGCAUGGGAAACUGGAGGACUGGAGUGCAGGAGAGGAAAGUGGAAUUCCACGUGUAGCGGUGAAAUGCGUAGAUAUGUGGAGGAACACCAGUGGCGAAGGCGACUUUCUGGCCUGUAACUGACGCUGAGGCGCGAAAGCGUGGGGAGCAAACAG